UGCGCAGGCGGUUUUGUAAGCCAGAUGUGAAAUCCCCGGGCUUAACCUGGGAAUGGCAUUUGGGACUGCAAGGCUGGAGUGCGGCAGAGGAGACUGGAAUUCCUGGUGUAGCAGUGAAAUGCGUAGAUAUCAGGAGGAACACCGAUGGCGAAGGCAGGUCUCUGGGCUGACACUGACGCUCAUGCACGAAAGCGUGGGGAGCAAACA
This 207-nucleotide ribosomal RNA is filed under the name uncultured bacterium. RNAcentral describes it as "partial 16S ribosomal RNA". It matches the Rfam family "Bacterial small subunit ribosomal RNA", at positions 568 to 774 of the family's 1533-position model. The record is from RNAcentral.